UACGAAGGUGGCAAGCGUUGUUCGGAUUUACUGGGCGUACAGGGAGCGUAGGCGGUUGGAUAAGCCCCCCGUGAAAUCUCCAGGCUUAACCUGGAAAGUGCAGAGGGGACUGUUCAGCUAGAGGAUGGGAGAGGAGCGCGGAAUUCCCGGUGUAGCGGUGAAAUGCGUAGAGAUCGGGAGGAAGGCCGGUGGCGAAGGCGGCGCUCUGGAACAUUUCUGACGCUGAGGCUCGAAAGCGUGGGGAGCAAACAGG
Molecule: ribosomal RNA, 253 nt
Filed under: uncultured bacterium
Lineage: Bacteria
Description: partial 16S ribosomal RNA
Rfam family: Bacterial small subunit ribosomal RNA
Source: RNAcentral